RNAcentral lists this ribosomal RNA (492 nucleotides) under uncultured bacterium. RNAcentral describes it as "partial 16S ribosomal RNA". The stretch from base 51 to 492 matches the Rfam family "Bacterial small subunit ribosomal RNA", at positions 37 to 507 of the family's 1533-position model. The record is from RNAcentral.
GGGGGGGGGGGGGGGGGGGGGGGGCGGGUGCAGGGGGGACGGGGGCGCAGUGGGGGCGGGCUCUGACGGGUGGCGAGUGGCGGGGGGGGGAGGAAUCCAUCGGAAUCUACUUUUUCGUGGGGGAUAACGGAGGGGAACUUACGCUAAUACCGCAUACGGCCUACGGGUGGAAGCAGGGGAGCUUCGGACCUUGCUCGAAUGAAUGAGCCGCUGUCGGAUUAGCUAGUUGGCGGGGUAAAGGCCCACCAAGGCGACGAUCCGUAGCUGGUCUGAGAGGAUGAUCAGCCACACUGGAACUGAGACACGGUCCAGACUCCUACGGGAGGCAGCAGUGGGGAAUAUUGGACAAUGGGCGCAAGCCUGAUCCAGCCAUACCGCGUGGGUGAAGAAGGCCUUCGGGUUGUAAAGCCCUUUUGUUGGGAAAGAAAAGCAGCAGGUUAAUACCCCGCUGUUCUGACGGUACCCAAAGAAUAAGCACCGGCUAACUUCGUG